ACACGUGCCUGCACAAUGAGCGCCAUUCAGUCCAUUCCUAUGGUCCCCUUCCUAUGCUUGUCUCGUUUUCAAAAAAUUCUGAUGCCUGUGCUUCCAUUUUUUGGCUCUUGCGUUGACUCCCUCACUUCUUCUUGCAUCUACUCCAAUCCCUCGCAUCCUUUCUGGACUACUUUUUUGUUGGCCAUGGACUGAACUGUGCUCUCUGCGGCUUCGUGUGUGAAAGGAUUUUUUUUUUAAUGUCGGCAUAAGAUGACAUUGGAAGUCGACAUCUUGCAUCGCUUGGUCCAUCGAGUGGUCCAUAUUUGUGCUCAACAUCAGACUGAUUUGCCUUUGGGUAAGGAAUGUCAUAUUCGAUCUCAUCAGUGCCUCACUGGAAAACUAGCCUAAUUUUUCUGCCUCCUAGCUGAGGUUUUCAUUUAGACCUGACACCAUUUCUUAGUCAAUAAACCACUGCAUUUGUGUUAUGGAAGAACGUGUACAGUGUUUUGCAAGGUUUAAAAGGAGUUAACUUAAAGAACAUACUACUCACCUUCGUGUUGCUGGCAGACCCAUAAAACAACCUUUUUCUUCUUGUG
This 575-nucleotide long non-coding RNA is filed under the name Oryza brachyantha (malo sina). RNAcentral's name for it is "long non-coding RNA (OBRA_LNC001157)". The record is from RNAcentral. Lineage: Eukaryota; Viridiplantae; Streptophyta; Magnoliopsida; Poales; Poaceae.